RNAcentral lists this ribosomal RNA (1138 nucleotides) under Vibrio parahaemolyticus. Its description in RNAcentral is "partial 23S ribosomal RNA". It matches the Rfam family "Bacterial large subunit ribosomal RNA", at positions 607 to 1749 of the family's 2925-position model. The record is from RNAcentral. Lineage: Bacteria; Pseudomonadati; Pseudomonadota; Gammaproteobacteria; Vibrionales; Vibrionaceae.
UUUGUAUAAUGGGUCAGCGACUUAUAUUCAGUGGCAAGGUUAACCAUCUAGGGGAGCCGUAGGGAAACCGAGUCUUAACUGGGCGUUCAGUCUCUGGAUAUAGACCCGAAACCAGGUGAUCUAGCCAUGGGCAGGUUGAAGGUUGAGUAACAUCAACUGGAGGACCGAACCGACUAAUGUUGAAAAAUUAGCGGAUGACUUGUGGCUAGGGGUGAAAGGCCAAUCAAACCUGGAGAUAGCUGGUUCUCCCCGAAAGCUAUUUAGGUAGCGCCUCGGACGAAUACUACUGGGGGUAGAGCACUGUUAAGGCUAGGGGGUCAUCCCGACUUACCAACCCUUUGCAAACUCCGAAUACCAGUAAGUACUAUCCGGGAGACACACGGCGGGUGCUAACGUCCGUCGUGGAGAGGGAAACAACCCAGACCGCCAGCUAAGGUCCCAAAUUACUACUAAGUGGGAAACGAUGUGGGAAGGCUCAGACAGCCAGGAUGUUGGCUUAGAAGCAGCCAUCAUUUAAAGAAAGCGUAAUAGCUCACUGGUCGAGUCGGCCUGCGCGGAAGAUGUAACGGGGCUAAGUAGUAAACCGAAGCUGCGGCAAUAUACUUUUGUAUAUUGGGUAGGGGAGCGUUCUGUAAGCGGUUGAAGGUGUGUGGUAACGCAUGCUGGACGUAUCAGAAGUGCGAAUGCUGACAUGAGUAACGAUAAAGGGGGUGAAAAACCUCCUCGCCGGAAGACCAAGGGUUCCUGUCCAACGUUAAUCGGGGCAGGGUAAGUCGACCCCUAAGGCGAGGCCGAAAGGCGUAGUCGAUGGGAAACGGGUUAAUAUUCCCGUACUUCUUACAAUUGCGAUGGGGGGACGGAGAAGGCUAGGUGGGCCUGGCGACGGUUGUCCAGGUUCAAGUGCGUAGGCUGAGAGAUUAGGUAAAUCCGGUUUCUCUUAAGGCUGAGACACGACGUCGAGCACCUACGGGUGUGAAGUCAUUGAUGCCAUGCUUCCAGGAAAAGCCUCUAAGCUUCAGAUUGUAAGGAAUCGUACCCCAAACCGACACAGGUGGUCGGGUAGAGAAUACCAAGGCGCUUGAGAGAACUCGGGUGAAGGAACUAGGCAAAAUGGUACCGUAACUUCGGGAGAAGGUAC